CCUACGGGUGACAGCAGUGAGGAAUAUUGGUCAAUGGACGAGAGUCUGAACCAGCCAAGUCGCGUGAAGGAUGACUGCCCUAUGGGUUGUAAACUUCUUUUAUAUGGGAAUAAAACAGGGUAUGCAUACCCUCUUGUAUGUACCAUGUGAAUAAGGAUCGGGUAAAUCCGUUCCAGGAGCCGCGGUAAUACGGAGGGUUCGGACGUUAACCGGAUUUAUUUGGUUUAAAGGGAGCGUAGGUGGAUUGUUAAGGCAAGUGUGAAAGUUUGCGGCUCAAACGGAAAAUUGCAGUUGAAACUGGCAGUCUUGAGUACAGUAGAGGUAUGCGGAAUUCGUGGUGUAGCGGUGAAAUGCUUAGAUAUCACGAAGAACUCCGAUUGCGAAGGCAGCUCACUGGACUGCAACUGACACUGAUGCUCGAAAGUGUGGGUAUCAAACAGGAUUAGAUACCCCUGUAGUC
Molecule: ribosomal RNA, 460 nt
Filed under: uncultured bacterium
Lineage: Bacteria
Description: partial 16S ribosomal RNA
Rfam family: Bacterial small subunit ribosomal RNA
Source: RNAcentral